UACAGAGGUCCCGAGCGUUGUUCGGAUUCAUUGGGCGUAAAGGGUGCGUAGGCGGUCUUCUAAGUUUGAUGUGAAAUCCCGGGGCUCAACCCUGGAAUUGCAUUGAAUACUGGAGGACUAGAGUACCGGAGAGGAAACUGGAAUUUACGGUGUAGCAGUGAAAUGCGUAGAGAUCGUAAGGAAGACCAGUGGCGAAGCGAAGUUUCUGGACGGUAACUGACGCUGAGGCACGAAGGCCAGGGGAGCAAAACGGG
This 254-nucleotide ribosomal RNA is filed under the name uncultured bacterium. RNAcentral's name for it is "partial 16S ribosomal RNA". It matches the Rfam family "Bacterial small subunit ribosomal RNA", at positions 524 to 777 of the family's 1533-position model. The record is from RNAcentral.